UCACAGUACGGACAUUGCAAUUUAUUUGCCGUGGCCACAUCUGCAGUCCUCAUGCCUCCUUGCAGCAUGCCUAAGGCACGUUCACGCAGAUGAGCAGGGACUCUGGGCAUCUUUCCUUUGGUGUUUUGCAGAGUCAGUGGAAAUGACUCUUUAGUGUCCUAAGCUUUCUGUGACCUUAAUUGCCUACCGUCUGUAAGCUGUUCGUGUCUUAACGACCGUUCCACAGGUGCAUAUUCAUUAAUUGUUUAUAGUUCAUUGAACAAGCAUGGGAAACAGUGUUUAAACCCUUUACAACGAAGAUCUGUGAAGUUAUUUGAAUUUUUCGAAUUAUCUUUGAAAUACUGGGUCCUGAAAGAGAGGCGUUUCUUUUUUUGCUGAGUUUAUGUUGUUGCUUUGGGUGAGCUGUGACACGAAUGGGGCUCAUUUCUGUAGCAUAAGAGCGAGCUGGAUCUUCAGAAUCUGUUUCAGAGUGCUUCUUUUUCUUUAUUCUCACGGAAAGUCACCAGUUGAAGUAUCCUGGGGUAAAGAAUGCGUUUGGCUGUUUCAGUACUUGGUGUCCAUAAGAGUAUCCCUCCUUCCGUACGCAGUGUGCAGCGUUCAUACGCUGAAGCUUCGGGAUCGUGCUCUCCCUCACUCCCUCUGCGUUGAUGUGCGAAUCAAUCACAUCCCUUUUGUCUUCAUCAUCAUCACCUGAUUCAAAACUGCCUAUAGGAGGGGGAAAUAGUGGAUAAUUGCCUUUUGGAGAAAUCUUUCUAUUAUGGGGUUGGUAUUUUCUAGUAUAGCUAAACCAUCCAUUCCAUUUGACUUUUUAUUCCAGGCCUCCGUUGCACUUACUCUCUCUUUGUAUCCUGUAGGCUUACGGUGUCCGGCUUGCCUUCACCAUAGACUGUAGGGAACCAGAUUCAUCCUUUCUUAAAAUGUUUCAAUACCAUAUCAAGAAGAGCAUGUAACUCUCAAUUCCAUAAAGUAACAAUAAUGUAAGGACACAUUAGGAAGAACUCAAUAUUAUUCUCAUACCAAUGCUGCAUUUUUAACUAGGGUGCCUGAAAUCAUAACAUUUCCAAGAUCCGAUAUUAUACAUUUUGUCAUGUUUCUAGUCAUCUUCCUAGCUUUGCUAAUAUACUAUAGACAAUAUUGUUUUACAGGAUCUUCCUCUUCUUUGCUUGGAUGCUCUCCAUCGCAACAAAAUCAACUCUUUGCCAACUGGACUCCAGUGGUCAUCAGCCUCUAAAAACACAAAGAGUAAAACAUUGACCUGGUGUUUAGCUUUAAGUGGCAAUACAGAAUUGAGGAGAAAACCCAUGAAAACUAUAGAAAUAACUACAGUGGCUAGUAGAAUAGUGGUGAUAUAAAUACAUUGGUUAAAUCAUUGUAGGCUAAUUGUAAACAGCCAGGAGUUGAUGACUGGUCUCACUGGGAUCAAGGUGAUUUCUGACCGAGUGUUUGUGCGCUACUGACCCCUUUCCAUGUCCUUGCGCAUUACGCUUCUCCAUGAUUUGUAUGAUAAAGUGCGCGGUUUGUGAAAAGGAACUGAAGUCGACGUUGUGGCCGGCGAAAAGACUGACAUCUUGUUAUAACAACUUUCUAAACUAAUCACAGACAAACAGCAUUUGUCUACGAGUCAGUUGAUGUUGUUAUAGGGUUUCUAUGGUCAGAACCAUAACAGUUGUGACAAGAGGCUCCAACCUAAUCUAAACGAAGAAGCCUUCCGCACUGCAAGACUGCGCGACAGUAUUACGUCAACCGCGUUUCAAAAUGGUUAGCCAACGCAGUUGUUUUUGAAAAUCAUCCACCAUGGACCAGAGACGUACACCACGGUCUGAAAAUGGUUAUUCGAAUAAUAAUUCAUCCAUAGAAAUUAAAUUAUAACUAACAGUACAUUUAGGUUACUAUGCAUAUGAUAUGUCUGAGGGUCUCUCAGCAUUUUUGAAUCGAGGAUACAGAGAUACAGAGGUGCGAGAUAAAGAUGAUUAUCCGCCAUUUAUUUCAACAAAACCUUGGAUCUAAACAACAUCUAAACACAAUUGUUGUCAAGAGAUACAAUGUAAUACUGUUCUAUUUAAUUCUGUGGAUUGACCUACACAUAACAAUAUCAUAAUGGAACAUGAAAUGGUCAUCUUUUCAAAGUCUAAACAUUAAACCUAAAAUUGCUAAAUAUGCAAAUAAAUUGUAAACGACACUAAAGUGAAAACAAGCAUUUACACUCCCCAGGUAACAUUCCCCAGGUAACACUCCCCAGGUAACAUUCCCCAGGUAACAUUCCCCAGGUAACACUCCCCAGGUAACACUCCCCAGGUAACACUCCCCAGGUAACACUCCCCAGGUAACAUUCCCCAGGUAACACUCCCCAGGUAACACUCCCCAGGUAACACUCCCCAGGUAACACUCCCCAGGUAACAUUCCCCAGGUAACAUUCCCCAGGUAACACUCCCCAGGUAACACUCCCCAGGUAACAUUCCCCAGGUAACACUCCCCAGGUAACACUCCCCAGGUAACACUCCCCAGGUAACACUCCCCAGGUAACACUCCCCAGGUAACACUCCCCAGGUAACAUUCCCCAGGUAACAUUCCCCAGGUAACACUCCCCAGGUAACACUCCCCAGGUAACACUCCCCAAAAUACCCUAAAUAGAUAAAACAUGUCAUUUUGAUCCAAUCAAUUUCAUUCAGUUUCCCAUUGAUUUGUAUGCUUUUGAACAGUAAAUGGUUAGAAAGUGCAC
Oncorhynchus keta (chum salmon) is the source of this 2719-nucleotide long non-coding RNA. RefSeq lists it as uncharacterized. The record is from RefSeq and is a predicted model, not a curated record. The transcript is spliced from 3 exons. NCBI's taxonomy places the organism in Eukaryota, Metazoa, Chordata, Actinopteri, Salmoniformes, Salmonidae.